GGGGUCGUAGUUCAGUUGGUUAGAACGCCGGCCUGUCACGCCGGAGGUCGCGAGUUCGAGUCUCGUCAGCCCCGCCA
RNAcentral lists this transfer RNA (77 nucleotides) under Nitrospina sp. RNAcentral's name for it is "tRNA-Asp". It matches the Rfam family "tRNA". Rfam says of the family: Transfer RNA (tRNA) molecules are approximately 80 nucleotides in length. Their secondary structure includes four short double-helical elements and three loops (D, anti-codon, and T loops). The record is from RNAcentral. Lineage: Bacteria; Pseudomonadati; Nitrospinota; Nitrospinia; Nitrospinales; Nitrospinaceae.